GCUGCAUGGUGGUGCAGUUGGUAGCACUCUUGCAGACGGUCCUGGGUUCGACUCCCGGCCGGGGCU
This is a non-coding RNA of Ataeniobius toweri, 66 nucleotides long. The record is from the annotation of a GenBank genome assembly. Lineage: Eukaryota; Metazoa; Chordata; Actinopteri; Cyprinodontiformes; Goodeidae.